This 301-nucleotide ribosomal RNA is filed under the name uncultured bacterium. Its description in RNAcentral is "partial 16S ribosomal RNA". It matches the Rfam family "Bacterial small subunit ribosomal RNA", at positions 509 to 809 of the family's 1533-position model. The record is from RNAcentral.
CAGUAGCCGCGGUAAUACGUAUGUCACAAGCGUUAUCCGGAUUUAUUGGGCGUAAAGCGCGUCUGGGUGGUUAUGUAAGUCUGAUGUGAAAAUGCAGGGCUCAACUCUGUAUUGCGUUGAAACUGUGUAACUAGAGUACUGGAGAGGUAAGCGGAACUACAAGUGUAGAGGUGAAAUUCGUAGAUAUUUGUAGGAAUGCCGAUGGGGAAGCCAGCUUACUGGACAGAUACUGACGCUAAAGCGCGAAAGCGUGGGUAGCAAACAGGAUUAGAUACCCGUGUAGUCCCUGUCUCUUAUACAC